AACGAACGCUGGCGGCAGGCUUAACACAUGCAAGUCGAGCGCCCCGCAAGGGGAGCGGCAGACGGGUGAGUAACGCGUGGGAACGUACCUUUUGGUUCGGAACAACUCCGGGAAACUGGAGCUAAUACCGGAUAAGCCCUAACGGGGAAAGAUUUAUCGCCGAAAGAUCGGCCCGCGUCUGAUUAGCUAGUUGGUGAGGUAACGGCUCACCAAGGCGACGAUCAGUAGCUGGUCUGAGAGGAUGAUCAGCCACACUGGGACUGAGACACGGCCCAGACUCCUACGGGAGGCAGCAGUGGGGAAUAUUGGACAAUGGGCGCAAGCCUGAUCCAGCCAUGCCGCGUGAGUGAUGAGGCCUUAGGGUUGUAAAGCUCUUUUGUCCGGGAAGAUAAUGACUGUACCGGAAGAAUAAGCCCCGGCUAACUUCGUG
RNAcentral lists this ribosomal RNA (430 nucleotides) under uncultured bacterium. RNAcentral describes it as "partial 16S ribosomal RNA". It matches the Rfam family "Bacterial small subunit ribosomal RNA", at positions 29 to 507 of the family's 1533-position model. The record is from RNAcentral.